GUCUUUUUGAAUUUUUUUUAAAGUCUAACCUGCCCACUGAAUUUUUUUAAAUGGCCGCAGUAUACUAACUGUGCAAAGGUAGCAUAAUCAUUAGUCUUUUAAUUGAAGGCUGGUAUGAAUGGUUGGACGAGAUAUUAACUGUUUCAUAAAAAUUUAUAUUAGAAUUUUAUUUUUUAGUCAAAAAGCUAAAAUUUAUUUAAAAGACGAGAAGACCCUAUAAAUCUUUAUAUUUAGUUUAUUAUAAUUUUAUAGAUUAUUUUUGUUAUAAUAAUCAAUAAUAUUUUAUUGGGGUGAUAUUAAAAUUUAAUAAACUUUUAAUUGUUUAAAUCAUUAAUUUAUGAAUAAUUGAUCCGUUAUUAACGAUUAAAAAAAUAAGUUACUUUAGGGAUAACAGCGUAAUUUUUUUGGAGAGUUCAUAUCGAUAAAAAAGAUUGCGACCUCGAUGUUGGAUUAAGAUAUAAUUUUAGGUGUAGCCGCUUAAAUUUUAAGUCUGUUCGACUUUUAAAUUCUU
RNAcentral lists this ribosomal RNA (511 nucleotides) under Scathophaga soror. RNAcentral describes it as "partial 16S ribosomal RNA". The stretch from base 387 to 511 matches the Rfam family "Bacterial large subunit ribosomal RNA", at positions 2473 to 2597 of the family's 2925-position model. The record is from RNAcentral. Lineage: Eukaryota; Metazoa; Arthropoda; Insecta; Diptera; Scathophagidae.